This 202-nucleotide long non-coding RNA is filed under the name Elaeis guineensis (African oil palm). RNAcentral describes it as "long non-coding RNA (EGUI_LNC061544)". The record is from RNAcentral. Lineage: Eukaryota; Viridiplantae; Streptophyta; Magnoliopsida; Arecales; Arecaceae.
AGGUGAAUGCAUCAUAUGCAAAAACUCUAAGUCUUGGCAAUGUACAUCUAUAUGUGUCAUUCCAAGACCCCCGCACAUCACAUGCACUGGAUUUCAAUUCUUUAAAAAAUUAGAUCAUGGGAUCUAAUCUAAAACUUGUCUCACAAGUCUAAAAAUCAUGAAAUUUACAUAUCUAAAGUUCGAUCAUGGAUUCAUAACACUU